This 2928-nucleotide ribosomal RNA is filed under the name Salmonella enterica subsp. enterica serovar Mbandaka. RNAcentral describes it as "bacterial LSU rRNA". It matches the Rfam family "Bacterial large subunit ribosomal RNA". Lineage: Bacteria; Pseudomonadati; Pseudomonadota; Gammaproteobacteria; Enterobacterales; Enterobacteriaceae. The record is from RNAcentral.
GGGUUGUGAGGUUAAGCGACUAAGCGUACACGGUGGAUGCCCUGGCAGUCAGAGGCGAUGAAGGGCGUGCUAAUCUGCGAUAAGCGCCGGUAAGGUGAUAUGAACCGUUAUAACCGGCGAUACCCGAAUGGGGAAACCCAGUGUGACUCGUCACACUAUCAUUAACUGAAUCCAUAGGUUAAUGAGGCGAACCGGGGGAACUGAAACAUCUAAGUACCCCGAGGAAAAGAAAUCAACCGAGAUUCCCCCAGUAGCGGCGAGCGAACGGGGAGGAGCCCAGAGCCUGAAUCAGCAUGUGUGUUAGUGGAAGCGUCUGGAAAGGCGCGCGAUACAGGGUGACAGCCCCGUACACAAAAGCGCAUGUGCUGUGAGCUCGAUGAGUAGGGCGGGACACGUGGUAUCCUGUCUGAAUAUGGGGGGACCAUCCUCCAAGGCUAAAUACUCCUGACUGACCGAUAGUGAACCAGUACCGUGAGGGAAAGGCGAAAAGAACCCCGGCGAGGGGAGUGAAAAAGAACCUGAAACCGUGUACGUACAAGCAGUGGGAGCACAGGUUUACCUGUGUGACUGCGUACCUUUUGUAUAAUGGGUCAGCGACUUAUAUUCUGUAGCAAGGUUAACCGAAUAGGGGAGCCGUAGGGAAACCGAGUCUUAACCGGGCGUUAAGUUGCAGGGUAUAGACCCGAAACCCGGUGAUCUAGCCAUGGGCAGGUUGAAGGUUGGGUAACACUAACUGGAGGACCGAACCGACUAAUGUUGAAAAAUUAGCGGAUGACCUGUGGCUGGGGGUGAAAGGCCAAUCAAACCGGGAGAUAGCUGGUUCUCCCCGAAAGCUAUUUAGGUAGCGCCUCGUGAAUUCAUCUCCGGGGGUAGAGCACUGUUUCGGCUAGGGGGCCAUCCCGGCUUACCAACCCGAUGCAAACUGCGAAUACCGGAGAAUGUUAUCACGGGAGACACACGGCGGGUGCUAACGUCCGUCGUGAAGAGGGAAACAACCCAGACCGCCAGCUAAGGUCCCAAAGUCAUGGUUAAGUGGGAAACGAUGUGGGAAGGCCCAGACAGCCAGGAUGUUGGCUUAGAAGCAGCCAUCAUUUAAAGAAAGCGUAAUAGCUCACUGGUCGAGUCGGCCUGCGCGGAAGAUGUAACGGGGCUAAACCAUGCACCGAAGCUGCGGCAGCGACACUGUGUGUUGUUGGGUAGGGGAGCGUUCUGUAAGCCUGUGAAGGUGGCCUGUGAGGGUUGCUGGAGGUAUCAGAAGUGCGAAUGCUGACAUAAGUAACGAUAAAGCGGGUGAAAAGCCCGCUCGCCGGAAGACCAAGGGUUCCUGUCCAACGUUAAUCGGGGCAGGGUGAGUCGACCCCUAAGGCGAGGCCGAAAGGCGUAGUCGAUGGGAAACGGGUUAAUAUUCCCGUACUUGGUGUUACUGCGAAGGGGGGACGGAGAAGGCUAUGUUGGCCGGGCGACGGUUGUCCCGGUUUAAGCGUGUAGGUGUGUGUUCCAGGUAAAUCCGGUUCACUUUAACACUGAGGCGUGACGACGAGGCACUACGGUGCUGAAGCAACAAAUGCCCUGCUUCCAGGAAAAGCCUCUAAGCAUCAGGUAACAUCAAAUCGUACCCCAAACCGACACAGGUGGUCAGGUAGAGAAUACCAAGGCGCUUGAGAGAACUCGGGUGAAGGAACUAGGCAAAAUGGUGCCGUAACUUCGGGAGAAGGCACGCUGACACGUAGGUGAAGUGAUUUACUCAUGGAGCUGAAGUCAGUCGAAGAUACCAGCUGGCUGCAACUGUUUAUUAAAAACACAGCACUGUGCAAACACGAAAGUGGACGUAUACGGUGUGACGCCUGCCCGGUGCCGGAAGGUUAAUUGAUGGGGUCAGCGCAAGCGAAGCUCCUGAUCGAAGCCCCGGUAAACGGCGGCCGUAACUAUAACGGUCCUAAGGUAGCGAAAUUCCUUGUCGGGUAAGUUCCGACCUGCACGAAUGGCGUAAUGAUGGCCAGGCUGUCUCCACCCGAGACUCAGUGAAAUUGAACUCGCUGUGAAGAUGCAGUGUACCCGCGGCAAGACGGAAAGACCCCGUGAACCUUUACUAUAGCUUGACACUGAACAUUGAGCCUUGAUGUGUAGGAUAGGUGGGAGGCUUUGAAGUGUGGACGCCAGUCUGCAUGGAGCCGACCUUGAAAUACCACCCUUUAAUGUUUGAUGUUCUAACGUGGACCCGUAAUCCGGGUUGCGGACAGUGUCUGGUGGGUAGUUUGACUGGGGCGGUCUCCUCCUAAAGAGUAACGGAGGAGCACGAAGGUUGGCUAAUCCUGGUCGGACAUCAGGAGGUUAGUGCAAUGGCAUAAGCCAGCUUGACUGCGAGCGUGACGGCGCGAGCAGGUGCGAAAGCAGGUCAUAGUGAUCCGGUGGUUCUGAAUGGAAGGGCCAUCGCUCAACGGAUAAAAGGUACUCCGGGGAUAACAGGCUGAUACCGCCCAAGAGUUCAUAUCGACGGCGGUGUUUGGCACCUCGAUGUCGGCUCAUCACAUCCUGGGGCUGAAGUAGGUCCCAAGGGUAUGGCUGUUCGCCAUUUAAAGUGGUACGCGAGCUGGGUUUAGAACGUCGUGAGACAGUUCGGUCCCUAUCUGCCGUGGGCGCUGGAGAACUGAGGGGGGCUGCUCCUAGUACGAGAGGACCGGAGUGGACGCAUCACUGGUGUUCGGGUUGUCAUGCCAAUGGCACUGCCCGGUAGCUAAAUGCGGAAGAGAUAAGUGCUGAAAGCAUCUAAGCACGAAACUUGCCCCGAGAUGAGUUCUCCCUGAGACUUAGAGUCUCCUGAAGGAACGUUGAAGACGACGACGUUGAUAGGCCGGGUGUGUAAGCGCAGCGAUGCGUUGAGCUAACCGGUACUAAUGAACCGUGAGGCUUAACCUUACAACGCCGAAG